This 449-nucleotide ribosomal RNA is filed under the name uncultured bacterium. RNAcentral's name for it is "bacterial SSU rRNA". It matches the Rfam family "Bacterial small subunit ribosomal RNA", at positions 29 to 523 of the family's 1533-position model. The record is from RNAcentral.
AACGAACGCUGGCGGCGUGCCUAACACAUGCAAGUCGAACGAGACCUUCGGGUCUAGUGGCGCACGGGUGCGUAACGCGUGGGAAUCUGCCCUUUGCUUCGGAAUAACAGUUAGAAAUGACUGCUAAUACCGGAUGAUGUCUUCGGACCAAAGAUUUAUCGGCAAAGGAUGAGCCCGCGUAGGAUUAGGUAGUUGGUGGGGUAAAGGCCUACCAAGCCGACGAUCCUUAGCUGGUCUGAGAGGAUGAUCAGCCACACUGGGACUGAGACACGGCCCAGACUCCUACGGGAGGCAGCAGUGGGGGAAUAUUGGACAAUGGGCGAAAGCCUGAUCCAGCAAUGCCGCGUGAGUGAUGAAGGCCUUCGGUCGUAAGCUCUUUUACCAGGGAUGAUAAUGACAGUACCUGGAGAAUAAGACUCCGGCUAACUCCGUGCCAGCAGCCGCGGUAA